Molecule: transfer RNA, 88 nt
Filed under: Clostridium sp. CAG:510
Lineage: Bacteria; Bacillati; Bacillota; Clostridia; Eubacteriales; Clostridiaceae
Rfam family: tRNA
About the family: Transfer RNA (tRNA) molecules are approximately 80 nucleotides in length.
Source: Rfam by way of RNAcentral
GCAGAUAUAAGCCUAAUUGGUAAGGCAGUGGUCCUGAAAACCACAAGUAGCCGGAAACGGUGUUUCGGUUCAAGUCCGAAUAUCUGCG